GACGAACGCUGGCGGCGUGCUUAACACAUGCAAGUCGAACGGAAAGGCCCUGCUUUUGUGGGGUGCUCGAGUGGCGAACGGGUGAGUAACACGUGAGUAACCUGCCCUUGACUUUGGGAUAACUUCAGGAAACUGGGGCUAAUACCGGAUAGGAGCUCCUGCUGCAUGGUGGGGGUUGGAAAGUUUCGGCGGUUGGGGAUGGACUCGCGGCUUAUCAGCUUGUUGGUGGGGUAGUGGCUUACCAAGGCUUUGACGGGUAGCCGGCCUGAGAGGGUGACCGGCGACAUUGGGACUGAGAUACGGCCCAGACUCCUACGGGAGGCAGCAGUGGGGAAUAUUGCACAAUGGUAGGAAGCCUGAGGCAGCAACGCCGCGUUCGUGAUGACGGCCUUCGGGGUGUAAACCGCUUCCGCCUGUGACGAAGCGUGAGUGACGGUAAUGGGUAAAGAAGCACCGGCUAACUACGUG
This 468-nucleotide ribosomal RNA is filed under the name uncultured bacterium. RNAcentral describes it as "partial 16S ribosomal RNA". It matches the Rfam family "Bacterial small subunit ribosomal RNA", at positions 28 to 507 of the family's 1533-position model. The record is from RNAcentral.